AAAGAUAUUUACGCCAUCUCCACCCUCCAUUCUUAUGCAUCAAGAUCAAUGGACGGUGUGCAGCAUAUCAGAUGACAAUAGGAGAAAAGUCUUGAUCAGCAAUUGCAAUCUGUAUGCGACAUCAGUUUUCCUUAGUUUCCAAGCUUUUCUAUAUUAUAUAAAGUAUUUUUGGUAAUAUUCUAUAGUAUAUAAUGCAAGAUUUCAAUUCUCAUCUUCUUCAUAUGGUACUAGUUCCAAUACGAAGAACUUUGUUGUUAUUAAGCAGAACAAUUUUCUUCGAGCUGCAAUAAUUUCUUUUAUCCAAGGAGUAGUUUUGCCUCAUCGUCAAUAUUGUAACUCCAAAUAUUUCAGAAGCUUUAUAUUAACUAAAACAAUUUCCACCAAACAGCAUCGAUCUUUGGCAAUCCAAAGCGAAAAUGGAGAGCUAAUAUCUUUCUCUUUUCUGUUUAGGAAGAAUGUCUAGUGUUGAUAAAUAUUUAGGGGCAAAGCCAUUUUCUGCUGCAUACAAGGAGAAGUUUCAUGGAAGCAUAUGAUUUAGAUUGAUAAAAUAUUUACUUGAAUUUGGAAUUAGUUUGAAGACUGACAAAUUUGCGCUCCUUACUUGUUUUGCAUUUGGUGUUCUGCAGACUCUUUCACGGAAAUUUGAGAAAGAAUUUGUGCAAGACUCUGAAAGAGUAAAAUCAGUGGAUUUUCAUCCAACUGAGCCAUGGAUUCUGGCAAGUUUGUACUCAGGAACUGUCUGCAUCUGGGACUACCAGACAAAAUGUUUCAAUAUUUAGACAUAUUGCUAAAUUUAUUAUACUAUUUCAGACAUUGGAGAGAUCUUUCAAGCUAACCGAAUGACCUGUCAGACCAGCAAAGUUCGUAGCAAGCAAACACUGGAUUGUUGCUGGAGCUGAUGACAAAUUUAUAAGGGCCUAUAACUAUGAUACAAUGGCAAAGAUAGUAGAAUUUGAAGCACGCGACGAUUUCAUUAGGUCUGUGGCUGUUCAUCCCACUCUUCCAUAUCUGCUGUCAGCAUCUGAUAACAAGGUUGUAAAGCUUUGGGAUUGGGGAAAAGAUUGGAUAUGCACUCAGAUCCUUGAGGGACAUUCCCAUUAUAUGAUGCAAGUGUCAUUCAAUCCAAAAGAGAUGAGUACUUUUGCCACUGCUUCGCUUGAUGUCACUAUUAAGGUGUAUAUAUACAUUAAUUGCAGAACAUUUGGUAACCAUUUUAUUUAAAUUUUGUUCUUUUUGAAAUUUAUACUUUUGCAAUGCCUCAUUGGAAAUAUAUGGAACAUUGGCUCUCCUGCUUCAACUUUUACAUUAGAAGGUCAUGCACAAGGAGUGAAUGGUGUUGAUUACUUCGUUUGUGGCAAUAAAACUUUUUUACUUGGUGACUCUGAUGAUUAUACUAAGGUUGGCAAGCAUAUCAGCAGGUCUUUUCCAUCUAUGCAUACGUCUAAUAGUACAUUCAGAAAUAUUUAUCUUAUGGAAGUUGCAUGUAUGGGACUAUCAAACCAAAAGCUGUGUGCAGACGCUAGAAUGUCAUGUGAACAAUGUUACAGCAGUUUGUUUUCAUCCAGAGCUUCCCAUAAUAAUUACAGCUUCUGAAGAUGGGACUAUUCGCAUAUGGCAUGCCAGCGCACAUAGGCUAGAGAGCUCAUUGAACUUUGCUUCUGAAAAAGUUUGGGGUAUUGGAUACAUGAAAGGAUCAAACCACGUUGUGUUUGGUUGUGACAUUGGAACCAUUAUGGUCAAAAUGAAUGGUUCUUGUGGUUAAGAUUCUCUCUAUCUUCAACCAGAGGAGGAAGUUAUAUAUAAAAAAGGAAUAAUUCAAGAGCAUGGUUGAACAAGAAUAAAGAUUCUAUUUUUUAGGGUUUUAAAAAUAACAUUUCUUAUAUUAAUUGGUCUUCAGAAAACCCGAAACUAGUUUUCUAGGUAAUGGCCAGUAAAGGUCUAAGCAGCUGCUGCUGUCCUACUUCUAGCAUUGUCUGCAGGGAAUUGUCAUGUUGAUCAGGUAAAGUUGAAGAACAGAAAGCAGAAAAUUUUUUUACUGUUACUUUUGUUGUUGCCAAUGCUGUUUCUUUUGUGUGAUAUGAAACAAGUACCAGACUGAGUAAGCCAAUAGAUGUGAAUAUAUGGUGUGAUUUAUGGUUACUCUUCAAUAAUAUUGAUUGUGAA
Ziziphus jujuba (common jujube) is the source of this 2163-nucleotide long non-coding RNA. RefSeq lists it as uncharacterized. The record is from RefSeq and is a predicted model, not a curated record. Lineage: Eukaryota; Viridiplantae; Streptophyta; Magnoliopsida; Rosales; Rhamnaceae. The transcript has 6 exons.